AGUGAACGCUGGCGGUAGGCCUAACACAUGCAAGUCGAACGGCAGCACAGUAAGAGCUUGCUCUUACGGGUGGCGAGUGGCGGACGGGUGAGGAAUACAUCGGAAUCUACUUUUUCGUGGGGGAUAACGUAGGGAAACUUACGCUAAUACCGCAUACGACCUAUGGGUGAAAGCAGGGGAUCUUCGGACCUUGCGCGAUUGAAUGAGCCGAUGUCGGAUUAGCUAGUUGGCGGGGUAAAGGCCCACCAAGGCGACGAUCCGUAGCUGGUCUGAGAGGAUGAUCAGCCACACUGGAACUGAGACACGGUCCAGACUCCUACGGGAGGCAGCAGUGGGGAAUAUUGGACAAUGGGCGCAAGCCUGAUCCAGCCACACCGCGUGGGUGAAGAAGGCCUUCGGGUUGUAAAGCCCUUUUGUUGGGAAAGAAAAGCAGCAGGUUAAUACCCCGCUGUUCUGACGGUACCCAAAGAAUAAGCACCGGCUAACUUCGUG
Molecule: ribosomal RNA, 492 nt
Filed under: uncultured bacterium
Lineage: Bacteria
Description: partial 16S ribosomal RNA
Rfam family: Bacterial small subunit ribosomal RNA
Source: RNAcentral